RNAcentral lists this ribosomal RNA (478 nucleotides) under uncultured bacterium. RNAcentral describes it as "partial 16S ribosomal RNA". It matches the Rfam family "Bacterial small subunit ribosomal RNA", at positions 28 to 523 of the family's 1533-position model. The record is from RNAcentral.
GACGAACGCUGGCGGCGUGCUUAACACAUGCAAGUCGAACGGUAAGGCCCUUCGGGGUACACGAGUGGCGAACGGGUGAGUAACACGUGGGUGAUCUGCCCUGCACUUCGGGAUAAGCCUGGGAAACUGGGUCUAAUACCGGAUCGGACCAUGCGCUUCACGGUGUGUGGUGGAAAGCUUUUGCGGUGUGGGAUGGGCCCGCGGCCUAUCAGCUUGUUGGUGGGGUAAUGGCCUACCAAGGCGACGACGGGUAGCCGGCCUGAGAGGGUGACCGGCCACACUGGGACUGAGAUACGGCCCAGACUCCUACGGGAGGCAGCAGUGGGGAAUAUUGCACAAUGGGCGCAAGCCUGAUGCAGCGACGCCGCGUGAGGGAUGACGGCCUUCGGGUUGUAAACCUCUUUCAGUAGGGACGAAGCGCAAGUGACGGUACCUACAGAAGAAGGACCGGCCAACUACGUGCCAGCAGCCGCGGUAA